This 511-nucleotide ribosomal RNA is filed under the name uncultured bacterium. RNAcentral describes it as "bacterial SSU rRNA". It matches the Rfam family "Bacterial small subunit ribosomal RNA", at positions 8 to 526 of the family's 1533-position model. The record is from RNAcentral.
AGAGUUUGAUCAUGGCUCAGGAUGAACGCUAGCGGCAGGCCUAAUACAUGCAAGUCGAACGGUGGUAGCAAUACCAUAGUGGCGCACGGGUGCGUAACGCGUAACCAACCUACCCAGAACUGGGGGAUAGCCCGCCGAAAGGCGGAUUAAUACCGCAUAAGCUCUUUACCUGGCAUCAGGUGAUUAGUAAAGAUUUAUUGGUUUUGGAUGGGGUUGCGUGCCAUUAGCUAGUUGGUGAGGUAACGGCUCACCAAGGCGACGAUGGCUAGGGGAGCUGAGAGGCUGGUCCCCCACACGGGCACUGAGAUACGGGCCCGACUCCUACGGGAGGCAGCAGUAGGGAAUAUUGGGCAAUGGUCGAGAGACUGACCCAGCCAUGCCGCGUGCAGGAUGAAGGCUUUCUGAGUCGUAAACUGCUUUUAUCAGGGAAGAAUAAGCUCCAUGCGUGGAGUGAUGACGGUACCUGAGGAAUAAGCACCGGCUAACUCCGUGCCAGCAGCCGCGGUAAUAC